UGAAUGGACAGACACUUUCCCUGAGGAUGCUUCAUGGGAGAAGUUGUCGGAGCUACAACGUCGGUAUCCUACAUUUGAUCCUUGAGGACAAGGAUAUUUUCCACGCCGGGCAAUUGUUAUGGUUUAUAUUUCUAUUUAAAUGGUUGAAAAUAAUUAGUUAAGAGCUGCGUCUUUAUUAUUUUGGUUUAAUGAUACGGUGAGUUUCGGGUUGGACAAAACGAGAGCGUUUAGCAAGAUGUUAGCUAAAAACGGUUAUUUCCUUUCAUUAUAUUACGUGUAACAGAAAAGGGGAAGGCAUGAAUAUUUUUGAAGAUUGAAUUUCAGCUACUUUGUUCUCCAGCUCUUCCUCCUUUUAUUCUCUCCUCUUCGAUUCUAUUCUAUUUCUUCUCAAAACAAAACGUUCUACAACAUCGGCCCCCUAGAUUGCGCAACUGCUUCACGCCGUCGUCGCCUCCGCUGCUCGAUUUUCCUCCGCCCUCGGUGAUCUUGGAAAAUGGCCGAAAUUCUUGCUUUUUUUUGUUUUUUUGCUGUUGUUUUUUGCUCUUUUUUUUUGGUUCUCCCCUCCUUUGUUUUUUCGGGAUUAAAGUCCCUUUUAUGUUGUUUUUUUUGCAAGGAGAAGGUGGCUAGGGCAGAGGAAGCCAUGCCCUAGGCCGGCCGUAGGAAAAUCUGGGCGCAGGUGCGCAAAUCGCGCCAAUUGGCCAGAAGGACUAGAUUGCAAACACAGCAAAAAUUCUGGGGCCGAAGUGUAAUUCUAGAAAUUUUAGGUGUCAAAUGAAAAUUUUGGAAGUUUAGGGGUCAAUCUAUAAUUUUAAGAAAGUUUAGGGUUUAAAAAUGAAAUUUUGAAAAGUUGAGGGGGUCAAAAUGUAAUUUUAGAAAAGUUUAGAGGUUAAAAUGUAAUUUUAAAAAAAUAAAAUUUGAUCCGAAAAAAUUUAGUGAUUACACCCAUUGACGAGUAAAAAAACAUAUUUUAUAUCUAAGUCGAUUUGACAGUUAGUGUAGGAGAUUAGAAAAAAAAGUUGCUUGGAUUUUAGCUCUCAAAUUUGUGACAUCUACAAUUGUUUUAUAAAAAAAAAUCGAACUGUAGAAGAGAAAGAGAAUGAGAACUUUCAAAUAUUAGUGCAGGUGGUACAAAUAGAAAAGGUCGUACAAUAGCGAUCUUGUCAACUCAAUGAUUUAAAUGAAAACUUUUAAAUAAUUCAAUAAUCAUUUUGUAAUAUUUUGAAAUUAAGUGACCAAAAUAUAAAUUUACAUAAGAAGAAUCUGUUCUUAGUAAUAUAAAAUUAAAUUGGUUUUAUACACAUAAUUUUAUAUAAUUAAUAUUUUAAUACACAAAAAUUCAAAUUAAUCGGAUAUCUCUGUAAUUUAUAUAAAUAAAAUAAGAAACAAGACAACAUAUUAAUAUAUAUAUAUAAAUCUGUUUAGAUAAUAAGGAACAAUAUAAAUCUUUUAAAAAUUAUAAUAAAAUAAUUUAAUUUGACUCGAUAAAACCUUUGACAAAUACAUGAUAUCCAUGUUAAGCUGUGAUUGCCAUGCAAAAUCGAAGGUGAUUGGGUUCUUUCCAGUCGGUAUUCUUUACUUAUUUUCACAAUUAUAGACUGAUGUGAUGUUUAAUCAACAGAAAAGUUUAUUAAAAAUUAAAACCCUAAAUUUAUGCUAUAAAAAGUUAAAAAUUUGAGGGUGAAAGUGUCGAGAUAAUAUUAUAAAAUUUUGAGGGUAAAGUUAAAAAUUUUGUAUUAAAAAUGUUUAAAUUAAAUUAAUUUUUAAAAAGGGUUAAAAUUAGUCGAUUGAGUCUUAGUUUGAUUUGGCAUGAGUAUUAUUGUCAAUGCGAGAGGACGUGAGUUCGAGUCUAUUGAAACGCAUUAUCCUUCUAUUUAUGGAUAAUUCUAGGCAUUGUAUAAAAAGAAAAGAUAUGAUCAAAACCUCUAAUGAGAUUGUUAAAAAAAAAAAACUAAAAUUGCCAUUUCUCAAGAACAAUAGCUAAGGGACCUGAUACUACCACUUGGAUCUGGAACCUACAUGUCAAUGCUCACGAUUUCGAUAGCCAUACCAAUGAUUUGGAGGAGAUCUCUCGCAAAAUAUUUAGUGUCCAUUUCGGCCAACUCUCCAUCAUCUUUCUUCGGCUGAGCGGCAUGUAUUUCCACGAUGCUCGUUUUUCCAAUUAGGAAGCAUGGCUCAGCGGUCCUACUCACAUUGGACCUAGCGCCCAUGUGGCUUGGCCAAUAGUGGGCCAAGAAAUCUUGAAUGGCGACAUGCAUGGGGGUUUUCGAGGAAUACAAAUAACCUUUGUUUUUUUUCAGAUUUGGCGAGCAUCUGGAAUAACUAGUGAAUUACAACUCUAUUGUACCGCAAUCGGUGCAUUGGUCUUUGUGGCUUUAAUGUUUUUUUCCUGUUGGUUCCAUUAUCACAAAGCGGCCCCAAAAUUGGCUUAGUUUCAAGAUGUAGAAUCUAUGUUGAAUCACCAUUUAGCAGGGCUACUGGGGCUUGGGUCCCUUUCUUGGGCGGGGCAUCAAGUACAUGUAUCUUUACCGAUAAACCAAUUUAUAGUUAACCUAAUUUAUUUUAAUUAUGUGGCGCAUAUUUAGAUGUUAUUAUAAUUUAUCAAGUGAUAAUAACUAAGGUUAAAUUCUAUACUAUUAGUCUCUAUGCUUACGAAAGCUAUAGAUUUAAUCUUUGUACUUUAAUUUAGUUAUUUUUAGUCCCUAUGCUUUUGAAUUUGAAAAUUUUGGUAUUCAUUAAGUGAUAACUAUUAAAUUUAUUAAAUUAAAUUUUGUUAUUUCUAAAAUUUGAUGCGACAAACAUAUUAUUAUAUGUAUGAUGCUUUGUCAGCUUAUUAUUUCCACAUAUUACUAACGGAAAAUUAAUUUAAUGGAUUAAUGAUUGUCAUUUGCGUCAAAAUAAAAUUUUCAAAAUUCAAAAAGUAUUAAGAUUUAGAAUGAUCCAUUUGGAGAAUAAGAGCUAAAUAUAUAACUGUACGUAUAGUACAAUAUUAGUAAUUAAAGUUGACCAAAUGAAAUUAAUUGCUACUGUUUGAAUUAAGACUAAAAAUUUAAAAUUGGAAAAGCAUAGAGACUAAAAUUUAUCAAAUUAGUUAAUUAGAUAAAAAAAAAAAGAGAAGGGUACCUUUUGUUCCAUUUAUUAUACAAUUCAGUGACAACUUAAACAGAUCAGUCAAUUUUGUAUAUAUAUAAUACCUUAUAUCUAAAUAAGAUUAUUUUUAAUCUUGAAAAUGGUGUAAUUUUUAUCAGCUAAGGUGGUAAAAACAUACAUACAUGCAUACAUAAGUGGUUCAGUACUCGUUAACUUUAGAACAAACUUUGCGGAUUUCUCCCAUAGUUCCAGUCUUCACUUCAAUGUUGCUCAUCUUCACCAUGGAUUUCCCAAACUCAACGUUGAAGCUUAAUCCAAGCGACCCUCUAACCUCCAAGAAACGUUGCACAAAUUUCUUGGUCAAAUCGUCAGUCCAUAAUCUUUGAUCGGAUUCAAGUAUUCCCUUGCCCUCCCUCAAGUUUGCAAAGAAAGAAGUGUCGAAUCUGUCAGCGCUGCCAGUGUCGAGUGCGAUCUGCCUUGACCCGUCACGGUUCUGAGGGCAAAGUGCUUGAAGGUGGGAAACGAAUGCGGGAUUUAUCGAAGGAUCGGCUCCUGUUGAAGUGAAGUUGUAAAGCCUGUAGCUGAAGACUUCGCAGGCAGCGGUACCGAUUGUGUGUGCUCCUAAUAACAGAUUAAAUAUUAGUAAUCAAAAUUGAGUAUCUACGGUAGCGUUGGGUAAAUCGAGCCAGAUUGUAAUAAAAUGUUUACCAACAAGGGUGACAAGAUCUCGAGUGUUGAGACCCUUUGCUGCAAAUUUUUGCUUUAGCACAUCUAUGGUAUCCUGGAAGCCUGGCAUAUUGCCAUCAGUAUCAGAUGCAUUUGAAACUGUUCCAUCUCUACGCCCUGUAGGAACUGCCCAACUAGUUCCCUUAGUCUGUAAAAAUGACACGAAUUCAAAACGACGACAUUCUCACCGACUAGCCAAAAGAAUCGUAAAAUAUAUAUAAUUACCAGAACUACGGAAUCACGAGCAGCAAGGGCUAGAAUAUCGGCGCACGAAACAACUCCGGGGCAUUCACAUUCGAGUUGAAACUUGGCAUCAUCGAUGACUUUGUAUCCUUUCAAGAACUGGCUUGCCGGUGCGGUUUUCUCAGCAUUAGGCCCAUCGAUAAGGAUGGAAGCAUCGCAUCCUCGUACGAAGCAGUCAUGGAAGUGCAUACGGAGCAAUCCCGGAGCUAUAGUCGGAUCCAACUUGAAAUGAGAUUCGACGGUCGACUUUAUGAUGGACUCAGCUCGAGGACAUGUGCUCGAGUAGAACCCGACUCGAGUGCUAUGGCCUCUCACCGAGCUGGCAGCUAUGGCUAGCAAUAGGGUAACUAAGAAGACUGUUUGAUUGAAACAAUUGUCCUCCAUUGUUGUAAAUUAAGCAAAGAAAUAGAAGAAUUAAGGGACAGUGUUCUAAUCAAGGCUUGCGAAUUGUGACUGUGGAUUGGCAAUUGUGAAUGCAGUAUUUAUAGGCAUAAGAAAAAGGCAAAACCAUAUACACAUACAUAUAUAUAUAUAUAUAUCAACUUGCAUGCAUCAUGCAUGCUCUUUGUUUGAUGCACGCUCCGUGUUUAAUGCAUGCUCCUUGUUUCUUACAAUUAGAACAAAGUCAUCGUCAACCAAAUACUGUGCUACUAAUUUUAUUCAUUAGUAAAGGCCUUGCUUUACAAUAUCUAUACAACUAUAUAUGAAUGGAAUAUUAGAUUUAUAGUUAUUUGGUAUUUGGUAUUAAUUCACGGGUUAUCGAAAAUGAAGAAAAGGUUUUCAAGGAGCUUGUGCGAAUUGAAGAUGAUAGGUUUAAUAUGAAUCUUGGAGGAUGUCCAGUACAGCUUUCUUUAGCGAUUUGUCUUGGACUUUCAUUGCUUAGGGUUAAUGCCAAGGCGUUUACCAAUCUUUGUACUUAACCCUCGAACUCGAACUCGAGUUUAAGGUUAAUAAUACAUAUUAAAAGUAAUUAUGUAAUUUAAUAAUAUAAAAAUAUGAAAAGCUCGAUAAGGCUCGCAAGUCAUUUGAUUCAAGUUUUACUAAGUUCGAAUUCGGCUUGGAUGAUAGUUUUAGCUACUUGAGCUCGAACUUGGCUCGAUAAUUACCGAACUGAGUUUAAAUUUUUUCGAGUCGUUUGUGAGAACCAAUAUCUCAUUUACAUCCCUAAUCCUCAUGUCCUAUCAAUUUAAACUAGUUAUGAGGGACAUUCAAAUGUCGAAAUUGAGACUAGAAAACAAAUUCUAAGUUAAGAAGGAUUAAUAUAUGAUAGCAUUGAUAUAUAAUUCUAUGUCAUAUAAAAAAAAUAUAUGUAAUUUUAUACAUUAUUAUUAGUGAAUUAUCAUUACAAUAACUAGAUGAGAAGAAGAGGGAUAAAAAAGUUUGAAUUUGUGUUACCCACAAAAAUUUUAACCACCGCUUUAACUAAGUUUCGACUAUGAUGUCACUUUAUUAAAAAUAAAAUUAAUUGAAUUUAGUUUUAUAAUGCCACAUCAUUAGAAAUAAAGUCAACUGAAUUUAGUUUCUAAUUGUUAUUUGUUACAGAUUUCGAGGAGAUAUAGAUAUUAAUUCUCAAAAAUAUCCAUUAUCCGAGACCGUUUACUUUUGUAAAUAACAAAAAUUGAUUUCGAUAAUUAGAUAAUGUGCUUAAUUGACAUAGUUUUACGAUUUAUUUUAAUUAAUUUAGAUAUGAGUUUUGUUAAUACAAUAACUGUCGAAGGUGUGAGAAAACAAGUUGAAGUGUAGGUUGCAUGGAACAUUUGACAAAGAUAUUUGUUUAAAAGAGGGAUUAGAAUUAAAGUAGAUUUAUCAGUGGGAGUAAGAAAAAAUUUUCUUAAAUUUCUUUAUUUUAUACUUUGAAUUUAUUUUUAGGGUUUGCUUUGUUUAGCAUUAAAAUAAAGGGAGGCGUGACUCAUGAGACUCCCAUAAUUUGAGGUUUAGGUUAUUAUUAUUAUUAUUAUUAUUAUUAUUAAGGAUAAAUAUCUAAACUACAAAUAAUUUCGAUCUAACUUGUAAUGUCAUUCAUGAACUUCGGUAUCAUGCGAUUAUAUAAAUAGAAUUUUGAUUUUAUUCAAUUUUCACAAAUCACUAACAAUAUUAUUAAAUUAGCAUCGUUUUACGUUGAUAUAUUGUAUACACAAACAAUUAUAUUAAUCCAAUAUAAAAAUAAAUGUAUGUAUUCAUUUUCUUUAAAUAUGUACAAUUGAAUUAAAGUCAAAGUUUCAUGUAUACAUAUGAACCACAGUUCAAUUUUCAGGUAUAUGAUUACACCAUAUCAAAUUUUAUAUAUUAAAUUACAUAUUAGACUAAAGUUCAUGUAUAAUUUUGAUAUUUAUCCUUUGUUAUUAUUAGUAACGCUUGAUGGCCAUUACUAUUGUUUAGUUUUUUCUAUUUUAUUUUGAUUCAAACUUUUCAGUUAUUUUGUUUCCUUCUUGUUUAAAUUAUGAGUAGUUAAGUCGGUAAUUUAUUUGGUAUUUGAAUUGUGAGGUUUUGAAAUUGUAUUUCUUCUCUCCACUUUGAUAUUCAUUACUUUUUUUUUAUUUAAGAGAUAGACUCAGUCGUAUUACAACUUUAUUUUAGCAUCAAAUCAAAAAGACGGGCCUUUAAUUCAAUGUUGGACAGCAUACAAUUGGUGAAUCAAUAUGAUCAGUAAUUGUUGUAUUCGGUCUACCGAAGAAUAAAUUGAUGUGACCAAUUAAGGAAGUCGUUGGAUCCAUCAAGGGAGUUAAUGAUCAAGUUUAAACAACCCGCGCUGUUGUGGCCAUUGAUUUAAGCUAUGUCUUUCUGGUUUGCAAGGCUGCCAAGGAAAUAAAUUGUGGAAGCUAAUUUCAAGGUUAUUUUCUUGUUAAGAGUUAAUUGCUGGGUUGUUCACUUGUUAAGGGUUAAUUGACGGUUUAUUCCCACAAUUAAUUAACAUAUGAAAGGCUUGGUGGUUUGAGGUUGUUCCUCAAUCAUUAUAAUUGACUUAUCAAUUGGAAGAGAAAAUCUAUUGUUCAAAACUGGUGGCAAAAUUGCGCCUGAAAUUGGAGUUUCUGUCUUAUUGAUUUGUUCAGUUUUAAUUUUGUUAUACUUCUUUUUGUUGUGUUUUAUUUUUAUUUAAUUUCCAUUAUUUAUUUUAUAUUCAGAUUUAAUCCAUGUUUCUCAAAGUAUCAGUGUUGUAUCAAUCAAGUCUUUUUGUCAAAUUAGGUUUUGAAUAAUAAUUUGAAUAUAAUGUAAAAGCAUAUUUAAAACACAUGGAUAAAAUUGUAAAUAUGUAUGCACCCUAUCACAUGAUCAACUUGAAUUUGAUAUGCUAAAUAAAUAGGAAGCAGUGUGAUCAAUUAAAUUUAGGAGAGUUAUUUCUUUUUUAACAUGUAAAAUCCAAGUGUCUAUGUUGCAGGUACACACAUGUUUACAAUUUGAUCCACAUAUUUUGAAUAUGUUUUACGUCAAAUCUAAGCUGACAUGUAGCACCUAAGCUAAUGGCUUCAUUAAUGGAAGGAUCAGAUUGAGGAUACAUAAUGAAGAAAGUGAAGAGGGAAAGACAAUCUUACAAUCUUUCUUUGAACAAGAGGAAUGAAAGAAAAUGAUUGUAACUAAAGCCAAGAGCGAAACAAGAAAUUGUUUUAGGGGCAGAAAUGCAUAAAACCUUUGGGGGUUAAAAUGCUUGAUAGUUAGACUAACGGAAGGAACUAAUUGACAUAAUAUUAAUACUUUGAGAAUUUAAUUAAAAUAUUUUAAAAUUUAAAUUAUAGCUUGAAUAACAAUUAAGAGACUUUUCCUAUUAAAAUGUAUAAUUUAAAAAAAUCUCAUUCACAACGUUUGGGUUUUUGGGUGACAAAAAUGAAAGUGAUCAAAAUAAAAGUGUAAACAUAAUAUGGCCUCUGUAUUUAACCGUCUUUAGAGAUUAAACAAUUGGGUGAUCAAAAUGAAAGUGUCUUAAAAAUUAAGUGAUGAAAUUGCAAAGAUUUCAUUUUAAGUAAUCAAAAUGAAACCACUUUAAAAAUUGAGCGGCCAACUAGAAAAUUUACCCAUAAAUUUAAGCCCCUCUUUUUUUACAUCCAAAUCUUUUCUUCUUCUUUUUUCUUUGAAAAAAACUAAUACCAUAAAGAGUUAACCUAUGUUGACAAUGUCAACUAGACUUUCACUAUCAAGAAUCUCAAUUAACUCCAAAGGAGCUCUUGUCGGAAUUUGUACCCCUUCCAAAUCGGUCAGAAUCAUCUUAGAAAUUCGAUCAACAGCAUGAUUAGCUUCUCUAAGAAUGUGUCGUAGCAUCCAAUAUCUUUAUCUUGAAGUUAUUUCCGAAGCAUAAAUUUAAUUAAUUCAUUUAUUAGUCAACAAAUAAAAAUAUUACUGAUAAAAUGGAUUAACCUUAUAAAACAACAACGAUUAAUUAUUAUUUAUUUUAGUUAAUUGUUAAUUUGGGCUGAUUUUUUAUUGGACUAUUAAUUUGGGCCAUAAAAAUCUAAACAAACUGAAUUGGAGAAUUGGCCCAUUUUCUUGUAACCUGAUCAUAUAUUUUCCUAUCAACUUCUCCAUUAUUUUCAAUCUCCCAUUUCUCUGCAAUUUCACGUUUGGGAAACAGCCGCACUGCAAUGGCUGCACCCAGUUGCGGUAAGAGCUUUUUAUUUAUUUCUUUAUCUCUGAUCUACUGUUGCUUUAUUUCGUUUUAUACUACGUACGGAGUGUUUGCUUGUAAAUCAGUAUUGGGUCUUUAGAAAUUUAGCUUUAUUAUGUAGUAGUAAACAGAUGGGGUUUAGUCUUUUUACUCAGAUUCUGAGAAAUUUUGUUUAAUAUGGUAUAUUAAUCUUUUGGGUACAUUGAUACAAGGUUAAAAUAUGGUAUAGGUUCUGUACUUUUCAUAGAUUCUAAAAUUAGUCCUUUUACGAUUUCAAAAUUUAGGUCCAAUUGUUAACACUAUUAUUUUGUUUGGUUAAUGGUUGAACUUGAAUUUUGAAAUCUGAAAAGUAGAAGGAUUAAAUUCUAAAUUUACAAAGAGUACAGAGACCUUUGGUAUAUUAUAACCUUGAUACAAAUUUCUAUUGAUGAUGAGUAUGUCUGUGUUUACAUAUUGAGGUUUAUUUUGUUGGUUGUUUUACAUGAAAUUACACUUCUGAAAAUAAUAGCAAAAACAACCCAAAACAAGUAACCAUGUCAUUUUACUGAAAGUUAUUUCACUAGAAAAGUUUUGUUCAAAUCUGCUCGUGUUUUGUACAUUGUGUGUUAAAGAACAACUGGUAUUCAAUUUUGUUUAUGUUCAAACCCCUGUUGUUUAGUAGAAUAACUCAUGUUUGGAACAACUCGUGUUUAGAACACUCUUUGUCAAGACUAUCUCCUUCACGUUAUGUGUCAUUCACGUAACUUUCACCACACCGAAAAAUCUUCUAUAGAAGACAUUUAUUGGCUCUUCCUCUCUUCGUCAAAGAAUCUUCUACAUGGUACACGAUGAUGCAUGAUCAACUCCUAGUAUAGGAGUACUUUUGCUGGUUUAUAAUAGCGUAGUUCUAUUUCCUUGUGUGGAUCAUGCCUAUAUAUUCUACUUUUAAAAGUUUUUCUAUGUGUUUGGACCUUUUUAGACGGUCAUAUCUCUAUACUUAUAUCCAUAUAUUUGUUAGACAAUACUUCAACAAUAUAAAAAGCUCAAACAAUUUUCUUUAAGCGCAUUUGGGGCAAAAACAAUGAAAUUCAAUGCCCCAAUGGGUGACUAAUUUAUGAACCAAUAUGAUUAUUUCUUUUUGAUGUUUUUGUUGCUUGUUAUCUUUUUAGCCCCUGAAGCAUAAUAGCUAAUAGAAAAUGAUAUGUAACAGAGACAACUGGAAAUGGGAUACCAACAGGAGAUAAACUCAUAUUGAGGGGCUUGAAAUUUCAUGGUUUCCAUGGGGUAAAGUCUGAAGAAAAAAAACUGGGUCAGAAGUUCUUGGUUGAUGUAGAUGCCUGGAUGGAUCUUCGGAAUGCCGGUAAAUCCGACCUUUUAUCUGAUACCAUUAGCUACACUGAUAUUUACCGGUGAGUAAUCGAAGAUGUUUAAAAACAUUGCAUGAAUCUUUUAGCUUAUGUUUUGAUUUGAUAAUUUGAUUUUUGGCUACUUACAUAAUAGUAUAGUGAAGGAAGUUGUGGAAGGGCAAUCUCGUGAUCUUUUGGAAUCAGUGGCUCAAAUUGUUGCAUCAAAAAUCUUUACAAAUCACUCUCAAAUAUCGGCUGUUAGAGUGAAAGUUGGUAAGCCUCAUGUUGCUGUUCACGGUUCUCUUGACUACCUUGGCGUUGAGAUUAUAAGAUAUAGAAGCAUUGAUGCUUCUAAUUGACCAUCAUGUACGUAUAUAUAGACACACAUGCAUGUAUGUAUGCUUGCACAUAUGUAUGCAUGAAUGAGUGUAUGUACGAAUGUAUCAUCUUCAUCAAUGCCUGGUAUGGUCUGGCCCGGCUCUAGGGUUUUUCGUCACUACAUCUUGACAACUGGUGUAUUUGUAUAUUUCUUUUAUAUUAUAAAGUUUGAUAUGCUAAUAAUUUUGUGUUGUGGAUUUUUGGCACAUUCUUGUCAUUUUUUUCACGUCUUAAUGGAACAUGUUUGCCAUCUCUAUCAAUCACUCGCUAAUAUACUUGAUUAUGACUUGGAUUGGGUUCAGGUCGACUUAAAAUUUUAAGUCCAUUAUCUACGAUUUAAAAAUGGGUCUAAAUUUUUACCUAAGCUUGGUCUAGAUUAAAAAUGAUAAAUCUGAACCUGACUCAAUUUGCUUGUAUUAAUAAUUUUAGAUUAUCUUUUAUAUAAAAAUAAAUUUUAAAAUAUAAUAAAUCAAAUAUACUAAAAACAUUAAAAUAAGUAUUUUUGAACAAAUUGAAAAUACUUAAAUAACACUAAGAUAGUUGUAACUUAAUUUAUUAUAUAACAAGACUCAUACAAUAUUCAAAUAAUAAUAAUAAUAAAAUAAUAGCAAUAUAAUGAGUGGUAGUAAAACAGCAGCACAUUGGUAGCAAAACAAUUCAUAUGGGCUGGGUCGGGUUAGGCUCAAGCCAAAAAAUUCUACAUGAGGCUCAGCUCGUUUAAAAAAUAGGUUUUAUUUUUUGUUCAAACCCAUUUUUCGAACUUAAAUUUUUGUUCAAACUCUCCCACAUUUCAAGUGAACCUUUAAACUUUGACGAAUGACCCGACCCAUUAUGAGUUGUACUCACUAACCUUCCCACGAAAAAGAUCUCAAGUGAACCUAAGGGUUAAGGGUCAAGGAUAUACUUUGCCAAAUGUGUUGUAAAGGAACCCAAUUAGAUUAAGUGGCGAAAGAAAUGGGCCACGAGUUUAAAGUUCUUGGAUGCAGUUUUUUAUACAAUGUUAUAAGAAUUUGGUGAUUGAAUCGAUUAAAUUAUUUAUUUUUAAUUUAAUUUAAUAAUAAUUAAGCAAAAAAUUUAUAAAAAUUAUAAAAAAAAUCAAAACUAGUAGAAUCAAGUUCCUCAAAAAGAAAAAGAAAAUGUAUAAGAAAUAAUUGUGCAAUUUAACCUAAACUUUUUUUAUCUAAAAUGCUGAUAUAACAUCUCACAUCAGCUUGUUGUUAUGUUGUUAAAAUGUAAUAUUAGUAAUCAUAUUGUAACUUUUAAUAACAUUAGUGAUCAUAUUGUAAAUUUUUAAAAUUUGGUAUUCAAAAUAUAAUUUAAACAAUAUAUAAGUGAUUAAAUUUGUAAUUUACCCAUUUUUAAAGCAGCAAUUUUGAAUAUGAUUUGGGAGAAAAAGGGUAAUAAAUAUAAAAGGCAAAAAGCAUUGCCGGUGCAGAAGAAAUCCUUAUACUAUUGAACUAGAAAGAGGGCAAUGAGCCUCUCUCUCCUUCAAGGCUAUUCUUCAGCCGAAGAUGAAGAAACGGCUGAGCCCGACCAUAUUCAUUAUGACGACUCUUCCGACGACGACGACUACGGCGGCGGCGGUGGUAUUAAAAACCAUUCCGCCGCUCCCAAGCGAUAUGACUCCUCCGUCUUUGAUUUCCCCGAUUCCUCCCGUAAAUCCGAUCUUCCUUCUGCAUUCGACGCUUUUUCGCAGGUAUAAAACUUAUUUUUUGGGCCCGUAAUCUCUUGGCAAAUAAAACCUUUGCUAGUAAUGUGUAGGAAAAUUCUGAAUUUUGAAGAAAAAGUAAGAUCGAGAUUUUUGUGAAAUAAAAUUAAAAGCUUUUUUUGUUGUAGUAUUUCUUUCUCACCAACUGAAAUUAGGUUUAAAAUGCUCUUCUUCUUUUUUCCCCUUUUCUAUGUUACUGAAGUGGUCAAAUUGAUGGUGAUGGAAUUAGGGUUUUUCUAAUUUUGUUAGUGUACUUGUUCUCUUGUUGGUUUCUGGAGGUUUCAGGGCCACCAGAGUUUUUAAACCAUGCGGUUGAGGAACCGAUUUCAGCAGGUGAUGCUGCCCAACAGCAAGGAAGGCGCAGUGACCGGAAGGAUUUCAAAGAUAAGAAGGAUAGGCCUUCUGGUAUUUUUCAAUCUAUUCUCCUUUUCAAAGUUUAUUUGCAAAUCUCUACUUAAGAUAUGGGCUCAAAUGGUUUACAAUUAUUGUGUUUAUUUUGUCAACUGAGGGUUUUUUGAACUUUAAUUGAUUAUGAUAUGUAUUUUAAUUAAAAAUGGUGAAAAAGGCUGUUUGUAACAAGUUAGAACCUUGAGAGUAGAAGAGCAAAGUUUCCUAUUAGAUCUUUCUCCUUUGGUGCCUGUGGUUUGCUUCAGGAUUUUGAUUAAUUGAAAUGUUCGAUUAAAGUUGAUGCUACAUUUUGACAGUUCUGGCGUGGAACAAGGUCGAUGGAUUAAUUUGUUGGGUUUUCCAAUGCUCAAUUCUGUUCGUUAGCCUCUACUGUAGAUAUUACUUUUCGUUCUUGUAACUUUAAGUGAUACUUCUUUAAGCAAUUUGAAGUUUAAACCAUACUCUUCUCUAGGCUAUAGUGUUGAAGGCACUUUGCAUCUGGUUGUUCAUUGGUCUUCAAAAUUUUACAUUAAGAUUCUGUUGCCGUCGUUAUGUUUAUUGGUAUUAAGGGUUAAUCAACCUAUCUCUAACCUAAUUAUCAUUUCCGUUGCCAUUGUUUAAAGGUGCUGUGGUAGAAGCAAAAGCUCAGCUUGUUGGAAUCCAUGAGCGAGUAAGAAGUGAUAUCGAGGGUAGCAAGCCUCCUGCUUCAGGAGUUCCAAGCACCAAACAGGAUGGAGCAAAGAGGGUCACAUCUGCAACAAAUCCAAAUGCAGAAGAUGCUGCAGAGCUCUUGAGGUACAUCGUAAUUGUUUUCAGCAUAAAUCCAGACUGGUCUUUUACUGUUGUUUUCUUUCUUGUACCCCGCAUUGAGCAGUAGUUUAUUUAGGCUUGAGUCUAACAUUAGAUGCACUGGUAAAGAGUUCUUUCUAUAUAAAUUUUGUCGGCAUUUCAUCUUAGCCUAUCGUUGUUAUAUAGGAUGUGCCUACAAUGCGGAAUACCAAAGACGUACUCCAGUGCUAGAGGAAUGGUCUGUCCGGUGUGUGGAGAUCGUCCUCUUGCAGAUGCCG
This 13515-nucleotide long non-coding RNA is filed under the name Gossypium barbadense (sea-island cotton). Its description in RNAcentral is "long non-coding RNA (GBAR_LNC015808)". The record is from RNAcentral. Lineage: Eukaryota; Viridiplantae; Streptophyta; Magnoliopsida; Malvales; Malvaceae.